GACGAACGCUGGCGGCGUGCCUAAUACAUGCAAGUAGAACGCUGAAGGAGGAGCUUGCUUCUCUGGAUGAGUUGCGAACGGGUGAGUAACGCGUAGGUAACCUGCCUGGUAGCGGGGGAUAACUAUUGGAAACGAUAGCUAAUACCGCAUAAGAGUAGAUGUUGCAUGACAUUUACUUAAAAGGUGCAAUUGCAUCACUACCAGAUGGACCUGCGUUGUAUUAGCUAGUUGGUGAGGUAACGGCUCACCAAGGCAACGAUACAUAGCCGACCGGAGAGGGUGAUCGGCCACACUGGGACUUAGACACGGCCCAGACUCCUACGGGAGGCAGCAGUAGGGAAUCUUCGGCAAUGGACGGAAGUCUGACCGAGCAACGCCGCGUGAGUGAAGAAGGUUUUCGGAUCGUAAAGCUCUGUUGUAAGAGAAGAACGAGUGUGAGAGUGGAAAGUUCACACUGUGACGGUAUCUUACCAGAAAGGGACGGCUAACUACGUG
RNAcentral lists this ribosomal RNA (495 nucleotides) under uncultured bacterium. RNAcentral describes it as "partial 16S ribosomal RNA". It matches the Rfam family "Bacterial small subunit ribosomal RNA", at positions 28 to 507 of the family's 1533-position model. The record is from RNAcentral.